CCAAUGCUAGAUAAGUGGGAAGGAAUUAAGCAGCUCAAAGCAGCUCUUUGGGCUUUGGGCAACAUUGGAUCAUCAAAUUGGGGUCUUAACUUGCUUCAAGAGGAGAAUGUGAUCCCUGAUAUAAUGGCACUUGCCCAGCAUUGCGAGGUUCUCUCCGUUAGAGGCACCUGUGUCUACGUGCUUGGUUUAAUUGCCAAAACCAAACAAGGAUGUGACAUUUUAAAACAUCACAACUGGGAUGCAGUGAGGCACAGUCGUAGACAGCCUUGGCCAGUGGUCCCUGAUGACAUGGAGCAGCUCUGCAAUGAACUUUCUUCUAUACCCAGCACUCUUAGCUUGAACUCUGAGUCCACUAGUUCUAGGCAUAAUAGUGAAAGUGAAUCUGCACC
This is a non-coding RNA of Tinamus guttatus (white-throated tinamou), 389 nucleotides long. The record is from RefSeq and is a predicted model, not a curated record. NCBI's taxonomy places the organism in Eukaryota, Metazoa, Chordata, Aves, Tinamiformes, Tinamidae.